AGCAUCACUUCCAAGAACAAAGUAACAUCAGAGACACCAAGGGUAUGCCUACAGUGCAGCUGCUGCAGGGGUACAGCUAGGGUGCUGUAGCUGUGUCACUGUGAUAUAGACACUUCCAACAUUGAUGGAAAGGAUUUUACAUUGACCUAGCUGUGUCUACAAUGAGGGGUUGGAGAUAGAAGAUGGCAGAGGUUGAAAGCACAGUUAUAAACACCAGUGUGAAACAGAAAGACCCAAAUGAGGCGCUGGUCAUCGCUGUGACAACCAGGGCCAUCUUCAACCUGGAGGAGGAGCAUCAGCUGUUCCUGACAAAGGGCAAGGAAGAGUAUGUGAAGUAUCAGCAAGUCAAUGAGGAUAAGCCCUUGGAGCAAGGUACAGCCUUCGCUUUCAUUCAGGCCAUGCAGUUUGUGAAUGAGAAACUCCUGGAGAGAAACCCAGAGGAGAAGGGCCUCUUUGAUGUCAUCAUCCUCUCCAACAACAGCCCAGAGAGUGGCAUGCGCAUCAUCAACAGUGCUAAGCAACAUGGUUUGGAGAUUUCCAAGUUUUGCUUUGUCAGUGAUGAAGAUUCCACCCAAUACUUGAAAUCCCAUAAUGUCAAGCUCUUCCUCUCGGCCGACAGGACGGACGUGUGCAAUGCACUGCAACGAGGAGUGUCAGCGGCUCUCAUCUUCCAGCAGGAGGUGCAGGCCCCCUGCACCCAACUGCGAGUGGUGUUUGACGGGGAUGCCGUGCUCUUCUCGGAUGAGACAGACCGGGUUUUUCGAGAGAAGGGGCUGUCGGGGGCUCUGGAGUAUGAGAGGGCAAUGGAAGCCAUGCCCAUGGGAGAGGGUCCACUGAAGGCAUUUGCCAUGCAUCUUGGGAAAAUGCGUAAGAAGUUCAGCCAGGAGAAUUCCCCUAUUCGCAUCUACUUGGUGACUGCCCGCAGCGGCCGUGAUAUGGGCCUCCGUGCUAUCAAGACCCUCCGGGAAUGGGGGCUGGCGAUUGACGAAGCCUUCUUCAUGGAUGGGGCUCCCAAGGGCCCUCUCCUCUCCCAGAUCCAACCCCACAUCUUCUUUGACGAUGGCCUUCAUAACAUCCAGGGGGCUCAGGAUAUUGGCAUACCUUCUGCCUUGGUCCCCUGUAACUGCUGAUGGGCAGGGAUGAAAGGGCAAAGGUCAUCCAAGGAUCAGGCCUCCCAAAAUGCAAUGGGAGAACACCAGGACAAAGCUUCUGCCAGAGGGGAUAAGGGAGGAUUUCUAAACCUGUGCUAAGCAAGCUUGAGGCAGAGGGAGAGAAGAUGCUGUGUGCUGAUGUGGUGCUGGAUCUGUUGCUCUUGGGUCCCUCUCUUAGUUCCAAAGACAAGGUCCAUCUGACUUGGGGAUGUGGCAACAGAAGCCAAAAAUCCAUAGGAAGGACGCUUGAAAAGUAACCAUUACGCCCAUCUCUUGAUCUGCCUUAGCCAUCUCUUCAAUGACUGCAACCCUUCCAGCCACUAGGGCUAAUGUGCUCCACUACUCAUGUCAUACGAGCACUGAAACCACAGCUCUAGCGAUGAGACCAUGUGAGCUGAAGACAGCAUGUCACUGUCGUAAGAGGCAGGCAGUGUAAGCUCGGGCUGCACUCAGACAUGGGGGUUGGUCUUUGGUGCUUUGGGCCAGUACUGCUAUUCAAAUGCCAAGAUGCCCUCUAAACGCUGUAUUUGUUGGGGAUUGUGCUUUUUCAAAGGAAACUAUUUUUUUUAGUGUGUAUGUUUUAUAUAAUAUGGGGCCAAAUCCUGAGAGGUGCUGAGCAGCUAGUGAGCACUUGCAUCUUCCGCUGACUUCAGCAAGAGUUCCAGAUGCUCAGCACCUCCCAGGAUUUGAGUGCCAGGGACCAGGAAAUCUGUCUUCUCAUAGUUUCUAGUUUGUAGGUAUACCUUACAUUGGGCCUGAUUCUGAUCUCCCAUUUGGUAUAAAUCAGGAGUAACUCCACAAAAUCAGUGGAAUUAUACCAGAGUAAGUGAAAUCAGAAUCCAGUCCAUAAUAUCUAGUAGUUAAUUUAAUGUCAACCUCUCUCUCUCUUCUACAUCUCUUUUCUGCUCAGUUCUCUCUUUUCCUGCCAGCCACACAGCCUCUCUGCCGCUCUCUCCUCUAAAUGGCACAGAAAGAUCAAGUCACUGUCAAUUUAUAAUGCACAACACUGCAAAGCUGCUUUUCUUGCAGUAUCUCAAGUAUGUUUGUGCUGAGAAUAGGGUAAGAAUGGCAAGCCCCACAGUAUAUCUGGUCAUUCACACUUAGGAUCCAAGACAAAUCAUUUCAGUGUUAUUUUCCUGUAAUAAUUUUUUUAAAGAACUAAGUCUGGGUUGGUUACAUCUGCACACAAAUAUGAUGCAAAGCCCUCGUAUAGACGUAAUAUAAUAGGAUACUAGGGUUAUAUCCUCUGUGUGUGUGUGUUUGUAUGUGUGUGUAUGUUUAUUUACAUAGAUAUAGAUAGAUAUAAAUUAUGGGUCAGUUUCUCAGUUGGUGUAAAUCUGUGGUAGCUCCUUUGACUCAAGGAGCUAUGCCAACUUAUCUGAGAAUCUGAUCAGUUCCCGUGUGCUCUUGCCAGCAGCAGCGCUUCUAUUUUAGUGCUUGAAUCUCAGCAAACUAUUCAAAAGGGGUAGGAAGAUUCAAAAAUAACAGCAGAGUAUUGGGGUAGGAGAGGGCUUAGCUGAGUGCCUUAUUGUAAGCACGCUGCGUUACACAUUCCUUGUUUCUUCUGGAAUAAGUGGCCAUUAGCUUUUGUUCUUGCUGGCUGUAACAGGGGCAGCUGAUUACACUGGGGCAUUGUUCUUGCUGGCGCUGGUGCAUCUGAAGCCUGUUCUGAGUGGUUUUGGAUAUUUUGGGUUGUUUACUGGGCACGAAGCAGUAGGAUGGAGCCUAAUUUAUAUUUACUAACCUGCAGUUUCUUUCCAAGUGCUGAACUUCAGCCAUUUGUGUAUGCACACAUUCACCACCAGUGGCCACUAUGCUGCUCCUUACUGAAACAGGCAUGGUGGCCAAUUGAUCCCAUUGCUGCUGUGGCAUGCGGCCAGCUCACAAAAUCAGGGCAAACGGAACUUAGAUUUUUGCUUCAAGGGGGCUUUUACAAGCAGUGGGUGAAAAACAAUGUUUAAUUGACAAAAUACGAGAAAAAUAUCAUACUGCCUCUAUAUAAAUCCACAGUACGCCGACAUAUUGAAUAGUGCAUGCAGAUUUGGUCACUACAUCUCAAAAAAGAUACAUUGGAUUUGGAAAAGGUACAGAAAAGGGCAACAGAAAUAAUUAAGGGUAUGAACACCUUCUGUCUGAGGAGAGAUUGAAAAGACUGGGAUUUUUCAGCUUGGAAAAGAGAUGACUAAAGGGGCAUAUGAAAGAAGUCUAUAAAAUCAUGAAUGGUGUGGAAAAAUUGAAUAAGGAAGUGUUAUUUACUCC
RNA transcript from Dermochelys coriacea (leatherback sea turtle), 3410 nucleotides. It is a transcript of the gene named cytosolic 5'-nucleotidase 1A-like, with no coding region annotated. The record is from RefSeq and is a predicted model, not a curated record. The transcript has 8 exons. NCBI's taxonomy places the organism in Eukaryota, Metazoa, Chordata, Testudines, Dermochelyidae.